Picea glauca (white spruce) is the source of this 73-nucleotide non-coding RNA. The record is from Rfam. Lineage: Eukaryota; Viridiplantae; Streptophyta; Pinopsida; Pinales; Pinaceae.
GCCUGCUUAGCUCAGAGGUUAGGGCAUCGCACUUGUAAUGCGACGGUCAUCGGUUCAAUCCCGAUAGCUGGCU